GCAGUAGCCGCGGUAAUACGAAGGGGGCUAGCGUUGUUCGGAUUUACUGGGCGUAAAGGGCGCGUAGGCGGACUGAUAAGUCAGGGGUGAAAUCCCAAGGCUCAACCUUGGAACUGCCUUUGAUACUGUUUGUCUUGAGUUCGAGAGAGGUAAGUGGAACUGCGAGUGUAGAGGUGAAAUUCGUAGAUAUUCGCAAGAACACCAGUGGCGAAGGCGGCUUACUGGCUCGAAACUGACGCUGAGGCGCGAAAGCGUGGGGAGCAAUCAGGAUUAGAUACCCGAGUAGUCCCUGUCUCUUAUAC
Molecule: ribosomal RNA, 302 nt
Filed under: uncultured bacterium
Lineage: Bacteria
Description: partial 16S ribosomal RNA
Rfam family: Bacterial small subunit ribosomal RNA
Source: RNAcentral